RNAcentral lists this non-coding RNA (30 nucleotides) under Mus musculus (house mouse). Lineage: Eukaryota; Metazoa; Chordata; Mammalia; Rodentia; Muridae. The record is from RNAcentral.
UGGGAUGAUGCCUUCCCGCCAGACCUUGUA